RNAcentral lists this ribosomal RNA (442 nucleotides) under uncultured Eubacteriales bacterium. RNAcentral's name for it is "uncultured Clostridiales bacterium partial 16S ribosomal RNA". It matches the Rfam family "Bacterial small subunit ribosomal RNA", at positions 338 to 795 of the family's 1533-position model. The record is from RNAcentral. Lineage: Bacteria; Bacillati; Bacillota; Clostridia; Eubacteriales.
CCUACGGGGGGCAGCAGUGGGGAAUAUUGCACAAUGGGGGAAACCCUGAUGCAGCAACGCCGCGUGAGCGAUGAAGGCCCUUGGGUCGUAAAGCUCUGUCCUUGGGGAAGAAAAAAAUGACGGUACCCAUGGAGGAAGCCCCGGCUAACUACGUGCCAGCAGCCGCGGUAAUACGUAGGGGGCAAGCGUUAUCCGGAAUUAUUGGGCGUAAAGAGUACGUAGGUGGUUUUUUAAGCGCAGGGUCUAAGGCGACGGCUCAACUGUCGUUCGCCCUGUGAACUGGAAGACUUGAGUACAGGAGAGGAAAGCGGAAUUCCUAGUGUAGCGGUGAAAUGCGUAGAUAUUAGGAGGAACACCAGUGGCGAAGGCGGCUUUCUGGACUGUAACUGACACUGAGGUACGAAAGCGUGGGGAGCAAACAGGAUUAGAUACCCUUGUAGUC